RNAcentral lists this unclassified non-coding RNA (202 nucleotides) under Hevea brasiliensis (rubber tree). Lineage: Eukaryota; Viridiplantae; Streptophyta; Magnoliopsida; Malpighiales; Euphorbiaceae. The record is from RNAcentral.
GGACGACACGCUCCAAGAGUCAAUCAUGAUAUGAAAGCGGCAAUGAUGGUAGGAAAAUCGUCAAUACCUCCCUAAAACAUUUCAUAUUGGGGAACCGGACAAAGCAUUGGUCGAAUUCAACAAUAUGUACGGUUGACAACGACGGAAAAGUAGUUGGCCAACAACUCUUGGAUACUGUGGUGAGCAACCUAGUCAAUUAAGC